GAGUUUGAUCGUGGCUCAGAUUGAACGCUGGCGGCAUGCCUUACACAUGCAAGUCGAACGGCAGCAUGAUCUAGCUUGCUAGAUUGAUGGCGAGUGGCGAACGGGUGAGUAAUACAUCGGAACGUGCCCUGCAGUGGGGGAUAACUAGUCGAAAGAUUAGCUAAUACCGCAUACGACCUGAGGGUGAAAGUGGGGGACCGCAAGGCCUCAUGCUAUAGGAGCGGCCGAUGUCUGAUUAGCUAGUUGGUGGGGUAAAGGCCCACCAAGGCGACGAUCAGUAGCUGGUCUGAGAGGACGAUCAGCCACACUGGGACUGAGACACGGCCCAGACUCCUACGGGAGGCAGCAGUGGGGAAUUUUGGACAAUGGGCGAAAGCCUGAUCCAGCAAUGCCGCGUGUGUGAAGAAGGCCUCGGUUGUAAG
Molecule: ribosomal RNA, 422 nt
Filed under: uncultured microorganism
Description: bacterial SSU rRNA
Rfam family: Bacterial small subunit ribosomal RNA
Source: RNAcentral